Molecule: ribosomal RNA, 497 nt
Filed under: uncultured bacterium
Lineage: Bacteria
Description: partial 16S ribosomal RNA
Rfam family: Bacterial small subunit ribosomal RNA
Source: RNAcentral
GACGAACGCUGGCGGCGUGCCUAAUACAUGCAAGUAGAACGCUGAAGCUUGGUGCUUGCACCGAGCGGAUGAGUUGCGAACGGGUGAGUAACGCGUAGGUAACCUGCCUGGUAGCGGGGGAUAACUAUUGGAAACGAUAGCUAAUACCGCAUAACAGUAGAUAUCGCAUGAUAGCUACUUGAAAGGUGCAAAUGCACCACUACCAGAUGGACCUGCGUUGUAUUAGCUAGUUGGUGAGGUAACGGCUCACCAAGGCAACGAUACAUAGCCGACCUGAGAGGGUGAUCGGCCACACUGGGACUGAGACACGGCCCAGACUCCUACGGGAGGCAGCAGUAGGGAAUCUUCGGCAAUGGACGGAAGUCUGACCGAGCAACGCCGCGUGAGUGAAGAAGGGUUUCGGAUCGUAAAGCUCUGUUGUAAGAGAAGAACGAGUGUGAGAGUGGAAAGUUCACACUGUGACGGUAUCUUACCAGAAAGGGACGGCUAACUACGUG